Molecule: long non-coding RNA, 221 nt
Organism: Echinops telfairi (small Madagascar hedgehog)
Lineage: Eukaryota; Metazoa; Chordata; Mammalia; Afrosoricida; Tenrecidae
Exons: 2
Source: RefSeq, a predicted model, not a curated record
CUCCCCGCCCCAGUCCGGCCUCUAUUGAAACACCUCGGCCGCGGACCAGCGCGAGCUCCCAUCUCCCGGUCCUAGCCGGCCGGUGGGACCGCAGCCUGCAGCCCACUUCGCUGCGAAUGGGAUAAGAAAACCUGUAGAGAUAACAACUGGAUGAAGAGUUUCCAAGGGACACAGCGGGGGAGGUUGGCAGGAAUUGGGGAGCUAACAACAGCAAGUGCAAA